UUAAGUUCAGCGGGUAGUCCUACCUGAUUUGAGGUCAAAUUGGUCAAGUAAAUUGUCCUUGCGGACGGUUAGAAGCAAGCAUGAGUCCAAUCCACGGCGUAGAUAAUUAUCACACCUGUAGUAGUUUCUUCUGCUCAGAUACCACUAAUGCAUUUCAGGGGAGCCGACUUCAAAUCUGCAGAAGCCCGCAAAAAUACCCC
RNAcentral lists this unclassified non-coding RNA (200 nucleotides) under Agaricales sp. Its description in RNAcentral is "partial internal transcribed spacer 2". The record is from RNAcentral. Lineage: Eukaryota; Fungi; Basidiomycota; Agaricomycetes; Agaricales.